Molecule: ribosomal RNA, 1186 nt
Filed under: uncultured fungus
Lineage: Eukaryota; Fungi
Description: eukaryotic LSU rRNA
Rfam family: Eukaryotic large subunit ribosomal RNA (bases 539-1186)
Source: RNAcentral
CUUGGUCAUUUAGAGGAAGUAAAAGUCGUAACAAGGUUUCCGUAGGUGAACCUGCGGAAGGAUCAUUACUGGGUAUAGGCCUCGUGCCUCCAACCCCACCCUUUGUAACCGCGGCCCGGAUUCGGCGCCUGGCGGGGGACCCCUCCGCUAGCGGAGGCCCCUCGCCUGCCGGAAUCAGCCAACCCUGCCUUGAAACUGAAGUCUGAGAACAAGUUAAAUUAAAUAAAACUUUCAACAACGGAUCUCUUGGUUCUGGCAACGAUGAAGAACGCAGCGAAAUGCGAUAAGUAAUGUGAAUUGCAGAAUUCAGUGAAUCAUCGAAUCUUUGAACGCACAUUGCGCCCCCUGGUAUUCCGGGGGGCACACCUGUUCGAGCGCCAUUUCACCCCUCGAGCCCUGCUCGGUGAUGGGCCCCGUCCUCGCGGACGGGCCCGAAACUCGUAGGCGCCAUCGUCCGGCCCUAAGCGUAGCAAGAGAAAUCCCUCGCUUGGUGGACCGUCCGGUGGUAGCCCCGACAACUUUUUUUUUUUUACAAGGUUGGCCUCGGAUCAGGUGGGGAUACCCGCUGAACUUAAGCAUAUCAAUAAGCGGAGGAAAAGAAACCAACAGGGAUUGCCUUAGUAACGGCGAGUGAAGCGGCAACAGCUCAAAUUUGAAAUCUGGCUCACGCCCGAGUUGUAAUUUGUAGAGGAUGCUUCGGGUGAAGCCGCGGUCCAAGUCCCUUGGAACAGGACGUCAUAGAGGGUGAGAACCCCGUACCUGGCCGCCGGUGCCCCCCGCUGUGAAGCUCCUUCGACGAGUCGAGUUGUUUGGGAAUGCAGCUCUAAAUUGGUGGUAAAUUCCAUCUAAAGCUAAAUACCGGCCAGAGACCGAUAGCGCACAAGUAGAGUGAUCGAAAGAUGAAAAGCACUUUGAAAAGAGAGUUAAAAAGUACGUGAAAUUGUUGAAAGGGAAGCGCUUGCGGCCAGACUUGCCCGCGGUUGCUCAGCCCGCCCUUUGGCAGGUGCACUCUUCCGCGGUCAGGCCAGCAUCGGUUUGGGCGGUCGGAUAAAGACGUUGGGAACGUGGCCUCCCCUCGGGGAGGUGUUAUAGCCUAUCGUGCAAUGCGACCAGCCUGGAUCGAGGUUCGCGCUCUGCUAGGAUGCUGGCGUAAUGGCCGUAAGCGGCCCGUCUUGAAACACGGACC